GAAAGGACGAAGUAACGCGCGUUUAGAGGGCACGAACAAACCGUGGGAGGAAGCCAUUUAGAAACCCAAUCCACCUGUUAAUCCAAUCGCCACGAAAGCCGCUUGAGAACGACUUUAAUUGAGUGCCACCUAUGUUCCUCGCUCGACGACCGUCGGUGGCAGUGUGCGUCCUAGGAAAGGCCUGGCACGCUCGAUUCCCUCCGAGUUAAAUUCGAUGAAUCGAACACACCGUUGACGGGGAUUAAUCAACUUUCGUUGGCCAGAUUAUAAAGAUCGAUGGAAGGGAUCGGAUCGUGCUAAUGAUAUAUCAGAUUCAUGGAAAGCAACGCUGGCAUCGAAAUACGUGUAAACGCGUGCAACGGCGCGUUGCACAUUGCCGCUCGAGCGCAUACGAUUCAUGCGAGCACGAGAGGAGUCGUCGAUGCGUAUCCAGCUAUCCACGUGCCAGGCGUUGCGUGCGACACGCCCAGUGCGUGGCUCGUACCACACGCACAUACGUGCCGCGCGAACCGAGAUUUAUGCCAUUGGCCGCGAACCACGCCGCUCGUUUAUCGGCCGUUCCACGCGCGCGGAUCACGGCAACGAACCAGGUACUUAAUCGCACCUUGCGCCGUCAUCCGCCGUGCUCGACAGACGCUGCCACGAAACAUACCUCAUUUUUCGAUCGUUAUCAUCUGCUUCGAUUAAUUCGAAUAAUCUUCGAAUUUAUCUCUCGUGAUUAGCUUGCGGACGUUUAUGCACUUAUUGAAAAUAUAAAUUCCCG
Molecule: unclassified non-coding RNA, 763 nt
Filed under: Bombus terrestris (buff-tailed bumblebee)
Lineage: Eukaryota; Metazoa; Arthropoda; Insecta; Hymenoptera; Apidae
Description: misc RNA ENSBTSG00005031147.1
Source: RNAcentral